CAAUAGCGUAUAUUAAAGUUGUUGCGGUUAAAAAGCUCGUAGUUGGAUUUCUGUUGGGAACGACCGGUCCGCCCACUGGGUGUGUAUCUGGCUUGUUCUCGGCAUCUUCUUGGUGAACGUUGCUGCACUUGACUGUGUGGAGCGCUACCCAGGACUUUUACUUUGAGGAAAUUAGAGUGUUUCAAGCAGGCAUAUGCCUUGAAUACAUUAGCAUGGAAUAAUAAGAUAGGACCUCGGUUCUAUUUUGUUGGUUUCUAGAGCUGAGGUAAUGAUUAAUAGGGAUAGUUGGGGGCAUUCGUAUUUAACUGUCAGAGGUGAAAUUCUUGGAUUUGUUAAAGACGGACUACUGCGAAANCANNNGCCAAGGAUGUUUUCAUNGA
RNAcentral lists this ribosomal RNA (380 nucleotides) under uncultured eukaryote. RNAcentral describes it as "partial 18S ribosomal RNA". It matches the Rfam family "Eukaryotic small subunit ribosomal RNA", at positions 592 to 976 of the family's 1831-position model. The record is from RNAcentral.